This 481-nucleotide ribosomal RNA is filed under the name uncultured bacterium. Its description in RNAcentral is "bacterial SSU rRNA". It matches the Rfam family "Bacterial small subunit ribosomal RNA", at positions 75 to 543 of the family's 1533-position model. The record is from RNAcentral.
GGGCUUCGGUCCGUGAGUACAGCGGCGCACGGGUGAGUAACACGUGGGUGAUCUGCCCAACUGAUUGGGAUAACCUGCCGAAAGGCGGGCUAAUACCGGAUACGUUCCAUUGGAUUUUGGUCUGGUGGAAGAAAGGGGGCUGAUGAGGUCCCGCAGUUGGAUGAGCCCGCGGUCCAUCAGCUAGUUGGUGAGGUAACGGCUCACCAAGGCGAAGACGGAUAGCUGGUCUGAGAGGAUGAUCAGCCACACUGGAACUGAGACACGGUCCAGACUCCUACGGGAGGCAGCAGUGGGGAAUUUUGGUCAAUGGGCGAAAGCCUGAACCAGCAACGCCGCGUGGGUGAUGAAGGCCUUCGGGUUGUAAAGCCCUGUCGGGAGGGACGAAACCCUGCGCUAACCACGCAGGUUGACGGUACCUCCAAAGGAAGCACCGGCUAACUCUGUGCCAGCAGCCGCGGUAAUACAGAGGGUGCAAGCGUUG